RNAcentral lists this ribosomal RNA (421 nucleotides) under uncultured bacterium. Its description in RNAcentral is "bacterial SSU rRNA". It matches the Rfam family "Bacterial small subunit ribosomal RNA", at positions 355 to 774 of the family's 1533-position model. The record is from RNAcentral.
UAAGGAAUAUUGGUCAAUGGACGCAAGUCUGAACCAGCCAUGCCGCGUGAAGGCUGAAGGUCCUCUGGAUUGUAAACUUCUUUUAUCUGGGACGAAAACGGGAUUUUUAUCUCAAUUGACGGUACCAGAGGAAUAAGCACCGGCUAACUCCGUGCCAGCAGCCGCGGUAAUACGGAGGGUGCGAGCGUUAUCCGGAUUUACUGGGUUUAAAGGGUGCGUAGGUGGGCUUAUAAGUCAGUGGUGAAAUCUCCGAGCUUAACUUGGAAACUGCCGUUGAUACUAUAGGUCUUGAAUUAUCUGGAGGUAAGCGGAAUAUGUCAUGUAGCGGUGAAAUGCUUAGAUAUGACAUAGAACACCAAUUGCGAAGGCAGCUUACUACAUAUAAAUUGACGCUGAGGCACGAAAGCGUGGGGAUCAAACA